GAUGAACGCUGGCGGCGUGCCUAAUACAUGCAAGUCGAGCGAACGGACGAGAAGCUUGCUUUUCUGAUGUUAGCGGCGGACGGGUGAGUAACACGUGGAUAACCUACCUAUAAGACUGGGAUAAUUUCGGGAAACCGGAGCUAAUACCGGAUAAUAUUUUGAACCGCAUGGUUCAAAAGUGAAAGACGGUCUUGCUGUAACUUAUAGAUGGAUCCGCGCUGCAUUAGCUAGUUGGUAAGGUAACGGCUUACCAAGGCAACGAUGCAUAGCCGACCUGAGAGGGUGAUCGGCCACACUGGAACGGAGACACGGUCCAUACGCCUACGGGAGGCAGCAGUAGGGAAUCUUCCGCAAUGGGCGAAAGCCUGACGGAGCAACGCCGCGUGAGUGAUGAAGGUCUUCGGAUCGUAAAACUCUGUUAUUAGGGAAGAACAUAUGUGUAAGUAACUGUGCACAUCUUGACGGUACCUAAUCAGAAAGCCACGGCUAACUACGUG
RNAcentral lists this ribosomal RNA (497 nucleotides) under uncultured bacterium. Its description in RNAcentral is "partial 16S ribosomal RNA". It matches the Rfam family "Bacterial small subunit ribosomal RNA", at positions 28 to 507 of the family's 1533-position model. The record is from RNAcentral.